Molecule: ribosomal RNA, 243 nt
Filed under: uncultured bacterium
Lineage: Bacteria
Description: partial 16S ribosomal RNA
Rfam family: Bacterial small subunit ribosomal RNA
Source: RNAcentral
UGGGUGGCGAGCGUUGUCCGGAAUUACUGGGUGUAAAGGGAGCGUAGGCGGGAGAGCAAGUCAGAAGUGAAAAUUAUGGGCUUAACCCAUAACCUGCUUUUGAAACUGUUUUUCUUGAGUAAGACAGAGGCAAGCGGAAUUCCUAGUGUAGCGGUGAAAUGCGUAGAUAUUAGGAGGAACACCAGUGGCGAAGGCGGCUUGCUGGGUCUUUACUGACGCUGAGGCUCGAAAGCGUGGGGAGCA